GGGUUGUGAGGUUAAGCGACUAAGCGUACACGGUGGAUGCCCUGGCAGUCAGAGGCGAUGAAGGGCGUGCUAAUCUGCGAUAAGCGCCGGUAAGGUGAUAUGAACCGUUAUAACCGGCGAUACCCGAAUGGGGAAACCCAGUGUGAUUCGUCACACUAUCAUUACGUGAAUACAUAGCGUAAUGAAGCGAACCGGGGGAACUGAAACAUCUAAGUACCCCGAGGAAAAGAAAUCAACCGAGAUUCCCCCAGUAGCGGCGAGCGAACGGGGAGGAGCCCAGAGCCUGAAUCAGCAUGUGUGUUAGUGGAAGCGUCUGGAAAGGCGCGCGAUACAGGGUGACAGCC
Molecule: ribosomal RNA, 344 nt
Filed under: Salmonella enterica
Lineage: Bacteria; Pseudomonadati; Pseudomonadota; Gammaproteobacteria; Enterobacterales; Enterobacteriaceae
Description: partial 23S ribosomal RNA
Rfam family: Bacterial large subunit ribosomal RNA
Source: RNAcentral